CCAGCUGUCCUGCCAAGGGCAUACGCUGGGUAGCCACGCUCCUGAGCGAUAACCGCUGAAAGCAUCUAAGCGGGAAGCGCGCUCCAAGAUGAGGCCUCCAAGGCCGGUCCGAGAAGAGGACCUAGAUAGGCCGGUGGUGGGAGCACCGAGAGGUGUGGAGCCAACCGGUACUAAUAGGCCGAAUCCUUCACCUU
This 194-nucleotide ribosomal RNA is filed under the name Fervidobacterium pennivorans. RNAcentral's name for it is "partial 23S ribosomal RNA". It matches the Rfam family "Bacterial large subunit ribosomal RNA", at positions 2717 to 2925 of the family's 2925-position model. The record is from RNAcentral. Lineage: Bacteria; Thermotogati; Thermotogota; Thermotogae; Thermotogales; Fervidobacteriaceae.